UACGAAGGGGGCUAGCGUUGUUCGGAAUCACUGGGCGUAAAGCGCACGCAGGCGGAUUGAUAAGUCAGGGGUGAAAUCCCGGGGCUCAACCUCGGAAUUGCCUUUGAUACUGUCUGUCUUGAGUCCGGGAGAGGUGAGUGGAAUUCCUAGUGUAGAGGUGAAAUUCGUAGAUAUUAGGAAGAACACCAGUGGCGAAGGCGGCUCACUGGCCCGGUACUGACGCUCAUGUGCGAAAGCGUGGGGAGCAAACAGG
RNAcentral lists this ribosomal RNA (253 nucleotides) under uncultured bacterium. Its description in RNAcentral is "partial 16S ribosomal RNA". It matches the Rfam family "Bacterial small subunit ribosomal RNA", at positions 524 to 776 of the family's 1533-position model. The record is from RNAcentral.